RNAcentral lists this unclassified non-coding RNA (161 nucleotides) under uncultured Clavicipitaceae. RNAcentral describes it as "sequence contains ITS2". The record is from RNAcentral. Lineage: Eukaryota; Fungi; Ascomycota; Sordariomycetes; Hypocreales; Clavicipitaceae.
CAACCCUCAAGCCCAGCUUGGUGUUGGGGACCGGCCUGCCUCCAGCGCUUGCCGCCCCCGAAAUACAGUGGCGGUCUCGCCGCUGCCUCCUCUGCGUAGUAGUUUACGACCUCGCAUGCGGAGCGCGGCGCGGCCACGCCGUAAAACCCCCUACUUUCAAA